CUACUUUGGCAGCACAUAUACUAAAACUGGAACAAUACAGAGAAGAUUAGCACAGCCCCUGUGCAAGGAUGACAUGAAAAUUUGUAAAAUGUUCCAUAUUAAA
Molecule: non-coding RNA, 103 nt
Organism: Otolemur garnettii (small-eared galago)
Lineage: Eukaryota; Metazoa; Chordata; Mammalia; Primates; Galagidae
Source: Rfam